AAAGGAAUAGACGGGGGCCCGCACAAGCGGAGGAACAUGUGGUUUAAUUCGAUGAUACGCGAGGAACCUUACCCGGGCUUGAACUGCAGGAGAACGAUACAGAGAUGUUGAGGUCCUUCGGGACUCCUGCGGAGGUGCUGCAUGGUUGUCGUCAGCUCGUGCCGUGAGGUGUCGGCUUAAGUGCCAUAACGAGCGCAACCCUUGUCCUCAGUUGCCAUCAGUUCGGCUGGGCACUCUGUGGAUACUGCCACCGCAAGGUGUGAGGAAGGUGGGGAUGACGUCAAAUCAGCACGGCCCUUACGUCCGGGGCUACACACGUGUUACAAUGGCGCAUACAGAGAGUCGGCCGCCGGCAACGUCGGUCCAAUCCUUAAAAUGCGUCCUAGUUCGGAUUGGGGUCUGCAACCCGACCCCAUGAAGCUGGAUUCGCUAGUAAUCGCGCAUCAGCCAUGGCGCGGUGAAUACGUUCCCGGGCCUUGUACACACCGCCCGU
This 493-nucleotide ribosomal RNA is filed under the name uncultured bacterium. RNAcentral describes it as "bacterial SSU rRNA". It matches the Rfam family "Bacterial small subunit ribosomal RNA", at positions 903 to 1397 of the family's 1533-position model. The record is from RNAcentral.